RNAcentral lists this ribosomal RNA (440 nucleotides) under uncultured bacterium. RNAcentral's name for it is "partial 16S ribosomal RNA". It matches the Rfam family "Bacterial small subunit ribosomal RNA", at positions 338 to 795 of the family's 1533-position model. The record is from RNAcentral.
CCUACGGGGGGCAGCAGUAGGGAAUAUUGCUCAAUGGGGGAAACCCUGAAGCAGCAACGCCGCGUGGAGGAUGAAGGUUUUCGGAUUGUAAACUCCUUUUGUUAGAGAAGAGAAUUACGGUACCUAACGAAUAAGCACCGGCCAACUCCGUGCCAGCAGCCGCGGUAAUACGGAGGGCGCAAGCGUUAUUCGGAACUACUGGGCGUAAAGGGCGCGUAGGCGGGAUGGCAAGUCAGAUGUGAAAUCCUGUGGCUUAACCGUAGAACUGCAUUUGAAACUGUUAUUCUAGAGUAUGGGAGAGGUAGGUGGAAUUCUUGGUGUAGAGGUGAAAUCCGUAGAGAUCAAGAGGAAUACUCAUUGCGAAGGCGGCCUGCUAGAACAUAACUGACGCUGAUGCGCGAAAGCGUGGGGAGCAAACAGGAUUAGAUACCCUGGUAGUC